RNAcentral lists this ribosomal RNA (253 nucleotides) under uncultured bacterium. Its description in RNAcentral is "partial 16S ribosomal RNA". It matches the Rfam family "Bacterial small subunit ribosomal RNA", at positions 524 to 776 of the family's 1533-position model. The record is from RNAcentral.
UACGUAGGGGGCUAGCGUUGUCCGGAAUCAUUGGGCGUAAAGAGCGUGUAGGCGGCCCGGUAAGUCCGAUGUGAAAGUCAAAGGCUCAACCUUUGAAUGUCAGUGGAUACUGCAGGGCUAGAGUCCGGAAGAGGCGAGUGGAACUCCUGGUGUAGCGGUGGAAUGCGCAGAUAUCAGGAGGAACACCGGUGGCGAAGGCGGGUCUCUGGGCCGAAACUGACGCUGAGGAGCGAAAGCGUGGGGAGCAAACAGG